CCCUUAGACGUUCUGGGCCGCACGCGCGCUACACUGACCAGUGCAACAAGCAUCCGUCCUUGGCCGACAGGCCCGGGCAAUCUUUGAACGCUGGUCGUGAUGGGGAUAGACUUUUGCAAUUUUUGGUCUUCAACGAGGAAUUCCUAGUAAACGCAAGUCAUCAACUUGCAUUGAUUACGUCCCUGCCCUUUGUACACACCGCCCGUCGCACCUACCGACUGAAUGGUCCGGUGAAGCCUCCGGAUUGGCGCGCACCUCGGUGCCGCCGAGAAGUUGGCUAAACCUUACCAUUUAGAGGAAGGUGAAGUCGUAACA
RNAcentral lists this ribosomal RNA (315 nucleotides) under uncultured eukaryote. RNAcentral's name for it is "partial 18S ribosomal RNA". It matches the Rfam family "Eukaryotic small subunit ribosomal RNA", at positions 1470 to 1796 of the family's 1831-position model. The record is from RNAcentral.